This is a long non-coding RNA of Haliotis rubra (blacklip abalone), 128 nucleotides long. RefSeq lists it as uncharacterized. Lineage: Eukaryota; Metazoa; Mollusca; Gastropoda; Lepetellida; Haliotidae. The transcript is spliced from 3 exons. The record is from RefSeq and is a predicted model, not a curated record.
UGUCCAUUUUUAUCGAAUACGAUCAUCAUAAUUAUUGUAAAAUUUCUUUGGUAGCCUGUAAGAAGGCACCUUCAGUAAUUUUAACCAGUAUUUUAUAGCUCUGAUAUUUGGAAACAACUGCAAAAUGU